AUUGCUGAGGUGGUGCGUAUGUGCCACGCGAAUGGAGUAAUGCAUAGAGACUUGAAGCCAGAGAAUUUCUUGUUCGCGAAUAAGAAGGAGAAUUCUGCACUUAAAAUUAUUGAUUUUGGAUUGUCUAUGUUUUUCAAGCCUGGGGAGAGAUUUAGUGAGAUUGUUGGAAGUUCAUACUAUAUGGCACCCUUGGUGUUGAAGAGGAAUUAUGGACCAGAGGUUGAUAUUUGGAGCGCCGGUGUGAUCCUUUAAAUUUUGUUGUGUGGGGUGCCUCCAUUUUGGGCUGAAACCGAACAGGGGCCGGGGUAGCUCUUGCAAUUCUACGGGGAGUGC
This is a long non-coding RNA of Ipomoea nil (Japanese morning glory), 333 nucleotides long. RefSeq lists it as uncharacterized. Lineage: Eukaryota; Viridiplantae; Streptophyta; Magnoliopsida; Solanales; Convolvulaceae. The record is from RefSeq and is a predicted model, not a curated record. The transcript is spliced from 3 exons.